This 510-nucleotide ribosomal RNA is filed under the name uncultured bacterium. RNAcentral describes it as "bacterial SSU rRNA". It matches the Rfam family "Bacterial small subunit ribosomal RNA", at positions 35 to 518 of the family's 1533-position model. The record is from RNAcentral.
GCCGGCGGCGUGCCUAAUACAUGCAAGUCGAACGGUCUUUCUAUGGAAGCUUGCUUCCACUGAGAAGAUAGUGGCGAACGGGUGAGUAACACGUGGGUAACCUGCCCAUAAGAGGGGGAUAACAUCCGGAAACGGGUGCUAAUACCGCAUAGUUUUCUUGAUCGCAUGAUCGGGAAAGGAAAGACGGCCUUUGUGCUGUCGCUUAUGGAUGGACCCGCGGCGUAUUAGUUAGUUGGUGAGGUAACGGCUCACCAAGACGAUGAUACGUAGCCGACCUGAGAGGGUGAUCGGCCACAUUGGGACUGAGACACGGCCCAAACUCCUACGGGAGGCAGCAGUAGGGAAUCUUCCGCAAUGGACGAAAGUCUGACGGAGCAACGCCGCGUGAGUGAAGAAAGGUUUUCGGAUCGUAAAACUCUGUUGUCAGAGAAGAACAAGUUGGAGAGUAACUGCUCCAGCCUUGACGGUAUCUGACCAGAAAGCCACGGCUAACUACGUGCCAGCAGCGGC